This 687-nucleotide ribosomal RNA is filed under the name uncultured archaeon. RNAcentral's name for it is "bacterial SSU rRNA". It matches the Rfam family "Archaeal small subunit ribosomal RNA", at positions 52 to 744 of the family's 1478-position model. The record is from RNAcentral.
UGCGAGUCGAGRGGUUCGGCCCUCGGCGGACGGCUCAGUAACACGUGGAUAAUCUGCCCUAGGGUGGAGGAUAAUCUCGGGAAACUGAGAAUAAUACUCCAUAGGUCUAAGAGGCUGGAAUGCACUUAGGCUGAAAGCCCCGGCGCCCUAGGAUGAGUCUGCGGACUAUCAGGUUGUAGUCAGGGUAACGACCUGACUAGCCUACGACGGAUACGGGUUGUGGGAGCAAUAACCCGGAGACGAUAUCUGAGACACGAUAUCGGGCCCYACGGGGCGCAGCAGGCGCGAAAACUUCACACUGUGCGAAAGCACGAUGAGGGAAUCCCAAGUGCCAGCUCGUAAGAGUUGGCUGUUUCUCUGUCUAAAACGCAGAGAGAGUAAGGGCUGGGUAAGACGGGUGCCAGCCGCCGCGGUAAUACCUGCAGCUCGAGUGGUGGCCGCUAUUAUUGGGCCUAAAACGUCCGUAGCCGGCUUAGUAAAUGCCUGGGUAAAUCGUGUAGCUCAACUAUACGAAUUCCGGGUAGACUGCUAGGCUUGAGACCGGGAGAGGCUAGAGGUACUCCUGGGGUAGAGGUGAAAUUCUGUAAUCCUAGGGGGACCACCAGUGGCGAAGGCGUCUAGCUAGAACGGGUCUGACGGUGAGGGACGAAGCCCUGGGGCGCAAACCCGGAUUANAUACCCGGGUAG